Monomorium pharaonis (pharaoh ant) is the source of this 11924-nucleotide RNA transcript. RefSeq lists it as uncharacterized. The transcript has 2 exons. Lineage: Eukaryota; Metazoa; Arthropoda; Insecta; Hymenoptera; Formicidae. The record is from RefSeq and is a predicted model, not a curated record.
UCUCUCUCUCUCUCUCUCUCUCUCUCUCUCUCUCUCUCUCUCUUGUAAAAGAGAAAUAUAUUCUCCUUCCGAGGGCGUUUCCGAUACUAAUGUAAAAUGACAGUAGAUCCUGAAAGUGGCAUGUUAUCCUACGCAACUCUCUACGCUGACUACAAAGACGCGGUAUUGCGAUAAAAAGUCGGGCAACGACGCAGAAAAAUCAUCGUAGCGCCGCACUGAAAGCGGCGCUUGCGGCAUGGCAAGAAAGCCAACUGGAAGAGCUCGUUACCGUUUCUUUGAACGAACGUGUUAAACGGCGGCUGUACAUAAUUGAAUGGUCGGCUCUAUUCAGGAUCGAGAAUCGAUCAGCAAAGAGAAAGAGAGAGAGAGAGAGGCCGGACUCUUUUUGCCGCCAUUCUGAUGAUUUGUUCGUAGACCGAAAAGAAGAGCCUUUUCUCAGCUCGACUCGUGGCGUCGAACUAAUAUCUCAAGGAGGAGAACGGUCUCGGAGUCUCUCGUUACCGUUAUUACGAGUCCACGGCAGCAUCACGUGCGAAAGCGCUUUGCUCGCGGGAGCCAUUUUUCGAUUAAACGCGACCGGAAAUUGCGUGGCGGGAAAUCCUGCGGCUGACCUAAUAAAACAUUCACUCUGUCUAUUAGCGAUUGUCCUUAAUGUGUCUUAAAUUAGUCGAGUGUCAUUUCGUCCGCGGUAAAAUUUCAUAACGGCCGCAUUCAGUGCGUGUCGAUGGCUACAUGCAGUAACUUGAAACAUCUUUGAAUUACCUUUGCGUCAGAAUUUUGAUAGAGUGCGAAAAUAAUUUAAAAAAAAUACACACUUCUCGUUAAGCAAUAACGAAACGCUAUACGUGUGUACGAGACAUCGUACGAGACUGUGUUCACGGAUAAGACCAGAAUGAGAUAGUCGUCGCCAUUUAACGAUAUUACGCAAUUUUCAGUCUGGCGACGAUCUCGUCUCUCUCAGCUGUCGCAUUACGCGAACGGUGCACGAAAAGGGGGGCGAUAGAGCUCGAAAGAAUUUAAUCGCGCCACGGACCACCCUGCCCGAUCGAAUUCCGCCGGAUGGUAUAACUCACGCCGACGCGGUAUCGGGUUCCUCCUCUUUCAACGAUAAUUCGAUUUGGAUCUCGAUUUAAAUCACGACGCCGUUGCGCCGCGCGUUGAUUACAGGCCGCGCGGCGGUACGCAAGAGCGAGGCCGAGGCAGGCGCGAUAACGAAACGCGCGCGAAGUGCGCGGUCGUCCUACGCGCCGCCCUACGUCCACGUCGUCGUCUACGAUCGAUCGCACGAUCGAUCGGGCACGUUUGACCUGCCGUACGUGCCGCCGCCGCAGCUGUACGUGAAUGAUCGAUUCUGCGCGCGAUUGAUACCGUUCCCCGAGAGCGAUAGCGAGAGCGGCCUGGCCGGCCGUUUCCUCGCGCGGAAGGGGUCGGUCCGCUUGAUCUCCGGCGUUAUGCCGGGGUAAUUCAUGACUUUCGUGCCGUGACUCCGGGGGACGGCGGCGGUCCAUGGGCUCAUUCCCGGUGAAAAAUUUCACGCCGGCGUACGCGAUCGAAACGAUUCGCCAAUACCCAAUCUCUCAACGGUAUCACAGAACCUCGAUAGCCUGUGAAUUUAUUUUCUCUUGUCGAGGAAGACGAUUUUAAUUGAAAUAUAUUUUAUUGAACGGAGGAAAGAGGUAUUUUGCACAGACGAUAAGAAUUAUUACAUACUAAUGUGACGAUGUGAAUUUUAUUGCAAAACAAUAUUUAAGUGAAGCUCGAAUUACAAAGUAGAAGUAGAAAAGAGUUGCCAUAUGCGUACUUAAAAUUAUAUUUCGCAUUUAGUACUAUUUGGGAUGCAAAUUAUUCCAUAUUAAAUCUUUUAUUAAUAAUAAAUUAAUGUGUGUGUGUGUGUGUGUGUAUUACAAGCUUUUUGUAACAUGCUACAAAAGGUACGAUUUAGGGAACCGGUUGCCUAAGUCGUGCCUCCUAAAUCGUAUAUUUUUUGAAAAUUGAAUUUAUGAGUGAAAAUAAUUAAAAAUAUACUAAAUAUCGUUUAUAUUAAGUAAAACUAUAAAAUAUUGAAGUGGCACGAUUUAGGCAACCGCUACGCAUUCAGCAACUCUCCCUUAUGUUUAAUCGAUGGGAAAUCGAUCGCCUCGAAAUUCUCACUAAUCAGCAACCUUUUUGCACAGUUUUUUGCACCGCCGCACGAUGAUAAUAAUUACAUCACGCCUCGACAACCACCGAGUGUCGAUUUUGCACGCCUCUUAUUCCCUGGAAACGAAAGUCGGCCGCCUAAUUCGAAGACAGCGCUUUGAUACGCACAACUUCCUACGGUGAAACGGUGAUUAGGUGCCUUAUCUUUUGCGUGUAUCGUCAUCGGAUAUGCGCGCGAGAUAAGAUCUAUAUAUAUACUCUUCACCGACAGGAACACGCGCGUUGCUUUCCUCCGUUCGAUAUUUAAUGUACACCUCGUACGUUUAGCGCUCGACGUCCGGCCAUUCGUGCGCGGAACGCCCCCGUUUUCGUGUAUCUCUAUCUCGCGAGAUUAUUAUUUGCAGGAGCCUCCGUGACGGCGAUGUAAAUUUAUAAGUAAAAGUAACGCACGGUGGUUUCACAGACCCGCGCGCAAGACGCUUUCGUAUCGCGCAAAUUUGAUGUUUUCAGCUCGCCUCGCUCACCGGCAGAACAGAGCCGCGCGAAAGUGCACCGCGUGUGUUUCUAACUGUGUAAGAAGCCAAGAUGAUCAAGUAAGAGAGAGAGAGAGAGAGGAGGAUCGACGAGAGAGUAACGAUAGCUCGUACGAAUACCCGUGAAUAAUCUCCAUAUACGUAUAAAAUAUUUAAUUCAUUAUUUUUUAAUAUCGCUACGUGGUUUAAUUUUUCUAUAAUUAUGGAACAAUACUUUGUCCGCUGAAAUCAAUGGUUGUUAAAUCCAUUUAUAUUAAUAAUAGAUUACAACCAAAUAAAAAGAGAUAAUAAAAGUCAAUGAUACAUAAUAUUGCAUAAUAACGAUGUAAACCAUUAAUUAUAAUUUUUACAUGACAGGACGACAACCGCCGCGAUCGUUCGCCGAUCAUUUUAAUAAACUGCUGUUAUUAAUCAAUAAAAUUACAAACGAUCAUCCUUUAACGUUAUUACGUAAAAAAAAAGAUUUCAAAGAUAGAAAGACAGAUGUAGGCCUAACGGACCCCGGGCAACAGCUGAUGGACGAAGAGUUGAGCGUGCAGGUGCAUUUUGACGCACCAGAGCGAUUUCCCGGUGUUUAGAAAAUCCGUUGAAGGUAAAAGGAAAGCUUCGGAGCCAAGGCGCCAGUCACCGUCGAACGUCAAAGUCAUCCGUUGGCCGACAUUGGUCGCGGACGACACCCGCGGCGUCAUUGUUGUUCACCGUGGCGUCGCGGCGCGUACAUAAGGAUCCCUCUUUCCAUCGGUAUACUUUCUAGUCCCCGACGCAACGUCGUCCGGGGAAAGGGGAAAAGAGGAAGUUCUCGUUGGGGCCGGGAGUUUCUUCCGUUUCUGUGAAUUUAGAUCGAGAGUCUCUCGCAGGCGACACUUGGCCCCGCGACGAGCCGCGGCCCAGCUUCCACGAGGACGUAAAAGGAGGACUGUCCAAGAAAGUCUUGAACCGUCAUAAUGCCAUGUACGUCCGUCACGUCUCUCCACGACUAAUCUGUUCAGUCACGCGGUAUACGCAGCGAUCGUUUUGUCGGCGACCCCGAGAGAAUUCUCACAAUUCGUUACAAAUUAUUCCUAAAUGUUCUCUAGUUCAGGGCUAGGAGCGUGAAAGUCGCGCUAAAAACCUUGAUCGUUCCGACAUUAGACGAUCGUCGAUGCGCACACACACACACACACACACACACAUACGCACAACGUACUCUACUACGAAACUAAUCUAGGAAAUUUUAAGUAGUGUUAUGGGAGAAAGCUAUAAAAGAUAAAAAUAGUGUAUACAUACACACCGUUGAAAAUACGGUAUAUAUUAUAAAAUAUAAAAGAUGCAAAAAAGUAUGUAUACACAUUUUCUCUAUUUAUCUGUUAAAUUCCGCGCGCGGGAACUUAAUUUAUUCAAGACACUACCUCGUAGGCGUAUGCACAGCACCGUCCAAUUAAUCAGAAAUAUAUUCAGACUUUUUUUUCCCCCCCCCCGCAAGUGAGAGACCGGCAAUAUAACCGGUCGAUUAGCAGGGGAGUUGAUGGACGAGAAUCCUGCUGGACGGUACCGCCGUAGCUAUCGCGGGAACUGGAAGUUUCACCCAUUAUGAACGCACUCUUCUCCCGCGAUUAGAUCCCUCUCUAAGCGCCUCUCACCAGCGACGGCGGCGGCGGCGGCGGCGACCUUCGAGGCCACGGUUGGCCAGUUCUGGCCUUGACAGCAGUUCGGGAGAGGGAAUCCAAACAACAAAUUGAACCAGCAGCAGCAGCAGCAGGAAAAGCUCUUCUACAUCGCCCGUCGCGGUUGCAUCGACGCUCUUUCUUUCGCUUCCUCGCUCAUCUCGCCACCGAAAUCCCAACCCACGACUUAUGAAUAGCGGAUCGAUCUCAACUCUCACACGCCGGCCCGGUCCAUUCUCACCAUCUCGGCUGACUGCACCGGUCGCAUCUCUCUUCUUCUUCGCCACGCCCCGCUCUUCGUAACGGCCUGAACGAAUCUCGCACGAAACUUUAACUUAAAUCCACGAGAUACCGCACUUUAAAAGUUUCAGACUGGACACGAAGGAUUUAUCAAAUUGUAUGUCGAUUGAUCGUAAUAAAAAUUAUCGAAAUGGAUGGUAAUAUUGUUUUCUUGAUUUGGGAACGUUUGAGAAAUUGCAAUUUUGUAAGCAAGUCAUCGUGUAGCAAAACGGCAGUAUUCCACUUUGUGUUUUUCCUAGAGAACCGCUAGAUAUUCCGCAGAGAUUAUUAAGCUUGUAGGAACUUCUAAUAAUAGUCGGGCACAUUUACGCGGAUGCCUACUUUAUAUGGAAAUUGGACGUGUCGGCGAUUUUUAUAUCCAUUCCUGACAGAUUUGCUUGGAAAAAGUGCAACGGGGAAUGUUAAUUAAUGACGAUUGGUGAAGGUUGGCCAAAAAUGGGCACGUGGCGUAACGCAUUACGCAAAGUGUGUUAACUGUCCGUAAAAGGAUUUCGGCGAAUUUGAAUGACGAUGCCUCGCCGAGCAAAAAUGUAUACGAGGGAAGAUAUUUCAUGCCAAGAAUAAGAUGGCAGAGUUUGCGAAAUCUAGCAGAGCCUUCUUCAUCCAACACUUUCUCAACGGCAAUUUUAUAACAUGAGCGACUAAUCUGCAAUUACAUAAAACAAAAUUUUUGUUAUAAAGACGUACGUGUGUGCGUGUGUUGAUACGUUUAGAGAGAGAAGGAAAGUAGAUCAAUUUCGUAACUUGCAACUUCUUCCACUAAAGGCCGACUUUAUACCGAAAGUGAAUCUUACAAAUGAUAGACUUGUCCGCUCUUAUUAUAAACGCUUCGCAUGCGUGGCGUAAACACGAGACGGACAUUCCGCAAUUUUUUGCGCGUACGAUCGACGGUCAAGAAUGAGCGGAGGUACAUUAUAGACGUCUCCCGUGCGAACUCGUCUCGUCUCGUCCGUAAGGAGAGAGAGCCGGUUGAGAACCCUCGAGAUUCAGGUUCUACACAGGGCGACCCGAGACCGCGGAGAGACUUGGGUGGCAUGAGAGCCGGUGGUCGCGCCCUGCGCUAACCCAACCUGACGUAGCCUAAGAUCGACUCUCUCUCUCUCUUUCUGUCUCUCGCGACUAGGAUUCUCUCCGCCUCGAAACCGCAUAUCGGCCGACGGUCCACCACCGUGUACGGAUCGAGUCCCUUAAGUAGUCACGGAUAUCCGCCGGCUACUUACCCUGGCAAGAACCGAAAUCACUGCCGAGCGAAACGCCUACCUGAGUACAAUAACUGCGUUAGAAGGGGCGUUUGGUGUUCGAGGGAAUUCGGUCGAGAAUAGAUUCGAGGUCCAUUGGAAUGAACGCCGACGGUAUAAAAAUUGGAGAGAGAGACACCAGUAACACACAUAGAGAUCUUCCCCGAGACGGUCCAACUCUUUUCAGGCGAGGGGUUCUAAGGAUUCUUAGACUUUUGUGCUCCCUUGGAUAGGCAGCAAUUUCAUGGAAGUGGCGUUCGCUAAAGAGGACUGGGGUGUCCCUCUAAAAUCGGCUUGGCUGCAAUUGUCAAGGAGGGGGUGGGGGGAGAGACGAAGAGCCCAUCCGUUUUUGGCGGUGAAGAAAAAUUAUCUCAUUUACGGAAAGGAAAGCCGCCAUUGAUCGAGGAGAACCUUGUUCGCCCAAUUUCUCCCGAACGCGGCCAUCACGUGAAAAGCAAAAUUUCACCUGCCCGACUUAAGUGUCAUAGCGUAAAUCGUCCAUUUGUCGGCCGUUUAAGGAAUUAACUUGCGCCCCUUGUUGAUUAACAGGUGUCUCGCUGAACACACGAUACAAAUCUUUCCCGUUACUAAUUUUACAUUAUCUUAUUAUUCAUUCUUAAAUUAUGAAAUCGUGGAAGCCUCGUUCCACGAAUCCGACGAGGCUCGCUGCAAGUAACAUUUCCCGAGGCGAAGAUCCUCCUCCGGAUUCAGUCUUCGUGGUACACUGUGAAGCAUCAAUUUGGCGUUUAAUCGAUUUUCCACGGCAUCAUCUACGCCGCCACGAUCAUAGGACGAUCAUGAGAUCACGAUGGGGCACGAGGAGAGAACUUCAUCUCGGGCGAGCGAACGGACAGCUCCGCGGAUGGAUUUAUUCAACUGGAUCCUCUCUGGUCCGUCGCCGUACCGUCGAGAUGACGGUACAUCGGUCCAAUUAGUCGCAGCAAUAAUGAUUACUCGUAGCCGGAUUUCUCGUUACCGAUUCACCGCGACAAUCGAUCGGAUUCGCGGCACGCUGGAGAGACCGGUGUUGAUAAUUCCUUCAUUGUGCGCAAGUGGCACGUAACUCGCCCGUCAUCGCGGUUCGAAUCGUCCCGCGGCGUGGGAUAUGUUCGCCAGAUGGAUAUCCGGAAAAUUACGAGAUGAAGAUCGAUAAACCCGGGGCCCCGUCGUCUUGGAAAACGGCGCAUGCGGGUAUAAGAGUUAUGAAACGUCAUUUGCAUAUGACCACGAUGCAAGAUCCCCUCCGCCCCCCCCCCCCCUCCCCGAUAGGACUUCAUUCCGGACCAGUCGUGGACGCGAUGUCUUGCGUUUCGGAGACGGGAUCCGGUCUCGAAGACGAAUGCCCACGUCGCGCGGCCGUGCGCGCAAACCUGUCGUGGCCAGCGCAACGUUUACGGUACAGGAAACGCGAUCUCCGCCGGUCGUCGUGUAUCCGAUAGAUAUGCAUCUGUCUGGCGGUUGUAUCUAGGCUAAAAGGCUUCCUAUGAAUCUAAAAAUAAAAUUGUGUCAAACGCGUUGAGUCGCGUGUCGUGUCGUACCGUGUAUCGCGUCGCGUUAGAGGAAUACGUAAACGUUAAUUGCUAUUUGAAUUAACAUUAAACGGAUAUAUCGUAUCGACGUUACUUCUCCGGUCUUUAAUCUUCCGAGGUCCCCGAGAGAGAGAGAGAGAGACGGGGUCACCGUUACUCCGCGUCGCGCUGACGCAGACCCCGCAAUUAUUUUCGUAGAGAAUCCCCGCGCUUAACGAUCCAUAUCGUCUACGAGACGAACGUCUCGUCUCGGCGAAGCAAAAAAAAGCUAUUCGUUAUUUUCCAUGUAAUAACUGCUAUCGCAGUAACUCACAGUCUCAACCGUCCGCCGAAGCGGGCAGACCCGGCGUACGGCGGCCGCGGCUCUGUUGGCGACAGUAAGCGCUCACGGCGCACACGCGUAUUCUCGCGUCUCGUUAUCCUUUAAAUGACGCAAUAACCGACUGCACGCGCAAGCGGUUUCCUCGUAAAAGUGUUUCGUUAGUUCGGGGCGUCGUUAGUGAUUUAAGUAAUUGGCCGUAAAGCGCGACAAACCGUGCGCACGCACGGUUGGUGAUUCACAGCUAACGGGAUAGAGAAGAAGCGGCCCGUGUGGGAAAUUACGACUGUCCUCUCGGUGCAUCUCUUAUCAACGACCGCGAAUAAUAACCACGGUUAAAUAAACGAGUUUAAGCCCUGUUCCCGGAAAGCUCGCGGGUCCUCGCCAACGGGAAACGUACUUGUGAUAAUAAAUUGAAAAUAAUAACACGCUAUUAGUGCCGACGUGACGUGGUAAUCGACGUGUAUGAUUAACGUACUAAUAAUAGCUAAUUAAUAUAAUGGGCCGUUAUUCCGUUAUAUUUGAGAAAAGGAGGAACGCCGUAACCCACGCGUGGCGGCUACGUGUAUGUAUGUACGUAUACACGGUAUACGAUACGCGCGGACCGGGCGAAUUUAUGACAUUUCGAUUUCGCGAUCGUCGCGCACGAUCAGAUCGCUCGAUCGAGCGGCGCGUCGCGGUGCAAUUAAGUGAAUCGUGUCCCAGAUCUUGGGACGGCGGCGGUUCGUGUAUAUACGCUAUCAAAAGUAAGACCUGGCUGGUAGACUGACGCGACUUAUGACCCCGCGCUUACGGUAUCGCUCAACCUUUUUCAUGCUCAACAAAGAGAUCGUUGUCCUCUCACCCGCUAAGCUGCGGGGGAGGGUAUAGGAUCUUCUACGGCUUACGACUCGUAUCGAAAUUCAAGAAGACGACGAUGACAGUGCGCCACGUGGGAACCAGAACGCCGCGCGCCGUCGUGUUUAUAAAUAUACGCCAUAUAAAUCUCCGUUGCGACUAGGCACGUUACGUUCGAACGUAAAUCUCGCGGUCUUGAGAAACUCCGAGGGCAAACUUUAGAUAUUCCGUCUUGAAUGACAAAUAUAUUUUUCUUUUCCUCUCCCGAAUGUUGAUGAAGAGAGAGAGAGAGAGAGAGAGAGAGAGAGAGAGAGAGAGAGAGAGAUGACACAUUUCUGUUGAACUUUAAGAAACUUUAAUCCGACAUUUGCUUUGCAAGGCGCUAGCCUCGUAAGUGGAAUUAAUUUCCGUUGUUGUUGCUAUUGUUGCGGAACCUCUUUUCUACAUGCGAACACUAGCGGAAUCUACUAAGACGAUAGCAGUGAUAGCGGACGUGUGGGAACCGGGAUGGAGGUAACGGCGCGAUAUGCAUGAUCGCCGGUAGCAAUACGUGCAUAUGCAAAUGCCCGCUCGCGAUUCGUUUACAUAUGCAAAACAUAUGGCAAUAACGAAACGAGGCGGCGAGAAACUCAAGAUCGCGAGGAUGUACAAAUUUAAUUGUCCCCGUACGCUCUGCCGCGGCCUAAUAACUCGAACGAUCGAGAUUUUUAACAUGAUUUUACGAUUUAAGAACAAAAUCAGCUGUUCGAGGACGUGACGAUCCAAGAGGUCAGAGAUUAUUCGAAACUUUAAAAAGAAUAUCCGAAAAGCCCGCAGGGCUUUAAAAAAAAACUCUGAUACAUCCAUUUUCGGAUACGUAUGAUAAUCGGAGCGAAUGAGAAGGGAUAUCAUUAUUCCAGGUCGACCGCUGCGAUUUAUCCGUCGUCGGUGGCACGAAAUUCAGUCUGUCGUAACGGAUCCGACAUAGAUACCCGGGAACGCAACACAACAAACGAGGCGCGACACGCAUAGCCCGAUAUUUCGUAUAGCUGUAGGAUGCAAUCGGGAUAUGCAGCUUGUAUAUAUAAUACAUAUAUGUAUACGCGGCGACACGUGAUACAUAAUACGCGCGCGUAUAUACCGUAUGCGGCGGAGAAAACACUAUCGAGGAGUCUCGGUGCGGACACGGCGGAGGUCUCGGCAAGGACCGUUAGGAGGCUUCAAGGAUAUCCUGCGUCUCUCGCGCUGCGGCGAUCGGCGGGAAUUAUUUUGCCUGCUCCCGCACGCACGGGAAAAGGGAUCGUUAAGGAUCGCUCUCUAUCUCACGCUUCUGUGAACGCAUCUGACUUUUUAUAAGCGAGCGAAAUUUUUGUAUUCUCGAUAAAGAGUUUUAAAAAAUGUUCCUUGCAAAUCCGAAGAAACGUUAUCCGCGACGUGUCGAUUUGCCGGCGCGAAUAAUUGCAAUUAACGGGGGAACGUCCUGAAUCUGGCGAGCGCGCGUCUGCCUGCAAUAAAUGAAUCCCGAUAAAAGAAAUUCCGAGCCAUUGUAGUUGGCGGUUUCUUCGGUACAUUGUCAUAGCGACGCUACCGCCGACAGGUGAGAAGAAGCCAAGAGUUGAGUCGAGCUGAUCGCCGAGAGGCAACGAUUGGAGAGCGGCGGCUUAUGUGGCCUACUGGCCCAGUAAGGGGCCUUCGUACGCGUAUCGCCCAUCACGUAUUUGGCGCCAAUAUUCACUUGCUCCCAAAGGGGCCUUAUUACCGCUCGUAAUUAAGCCUCGGGGCAGAGGGGGGGGGGGGUUCGAUCGGAAGAAGACUCGAGACGAACGGUCCCGCUUGCGCGCUCGCAUCGAGCGAGCAUCACGCGAAACGAAUUCGACUUUAGAUUUCGGGGCGGAAGGCACAAAGGGGGAGCGCUAAGUUGCCUGCGCGAUUAAUAACGCUAGAUAAAGCCGCGCUAAAUUAUGCGCGGGUCGCGACAUUAGACGUUGGGAGGACGACGAGUUGGCCAUAAAUCGACGCCAGCCGCUCUAAUGGCGCAAACUAUGCAACGGCCCUAAAAACGCGAUGAUUCCGAGCUAUACCGCGCCUCUCCGCAAAAAAACGUUCCGCAAACUAACUUGCUCUCUUUAUAUUUCUUCUACUUCUCUAGUUAGAUCGAAACCGUAACACUCUAUCGAAAUGCAACCACGUUGCUCGCGGGAAAUUCGAUGCAGCCAGCCGUGAAGGAGUGAAGUGUUAAUGAAGUGUUAUGAAAGUGUAAACAUCGCCGAGCGGCGGCGGGACUGUCCCGGAAUAAAAUCAAACAAAAAUACUAUUUUCAGACGAAUCGUAUAUGCUAAGUGGACGCGCUAAGACGUGCAUCGUGCCACUUGUGUCUUUUUUAUUCGACAGUUUGGACAGGCCGACCUCCGCCAGGCCUGUGUCGAAAUUACACGCCCACGGCAGCACGGUUUAUGUUUCUAGAGAGGGAUCUACAAAUAAUUAUGGCCACUUCCCUAAAUCAAUAGUGCGUUCCCCACGUGGAUCCCUUCUGGGAAAACCAGGUCUAAAAGGAGAUUGGCUGCACCGAGAGUUCAAUAUCGAGGAUUUUUGUCUCAGGUUGAAUUCUAUGCUGCGGGUCAGUCCAGUGAAACAAUGGCAUCAAAGGUAAGUUUUGCAUCGUUUUUUUUUUAUGAUUCUCUCAUCGUGGGCACAUCGCGUUUGGGAAACCGCUGCAAUGCGGCGCGCGUUUUAAUGCCCCGUAGAUUCACACGUGGUGGCGGACCGGGCCGACUACGACUUCCUGCCGACGGCCGAGCGAGCGGGUCACACGAGGAGAUAUAACGCAAGCCGGAUACGGAGCUGCAUAAUUGUACACAUUGGCCGUGUUUCAGCCGUGUUAAUCUUUGUCGUACGAGCGCGUCGUGCGACCCUUAAGGUCGCGCUUCCCCGAGCACGCCGCGGAAGUGUGAAAUUAGUUCGGCGUAAGAGGACGAAAUUAUUCUACACAGCUACAUGCACAUAUGAUAUCUAAUUUCCAUGUAACGAACACCAUUUGACGAAUUAGCUCUGCGUUUAGCUAAUUUCGCGAUUAUUACGUAAUUUUUGUAUGUGUUUGGUCUUUUAAAAAAAAGCAUGGAUAUAAAUAUAUAUAUUUCGUACGAUGCCGAUGAGAAAAUUUCUAUCGAUAUCGAUUAUACGUUCGUUUAUUUUUUUCUUUUUUGCUUACUAACUAAAACUUGCUACACUAUAGUUUUUUAUAAGGAUACUGUAGAGUGCAAAAGGUAUAUCUUCGUAUUUUUAUAAAUUUGUUUUGGUUGGUAAGAUGAAAAAUUUUGGAUAAUAUAAUAUUAUGGUAAUAUAGAAGUUUUCCGUGUGUGUGAUUACUAUUAAAUAAUAUUUGGUUAUUAAAUACAGUUUAAUUUAAA